This is a non-coding RNA of Archocentrus centrarchus (flier cichlid), 71 nucleotides long. Lineage: Eukaryota; Metazoa; Chordata; Actinopteri; Cichliformes; Cichlidae. The record is from the annotation of a RefSeq genome assembly.
GCACCGCUGGUCUAGUGGUAUCAUGCAAGAUUCCCAUUCUUGUGAGCUGGGUUCGAUUCCCGGGCGGUGCA